RNAcentral lists this ribosomal RNA (253 nucleotides) under uncultured bacterium. Its description in RNAcentral is "partial 16S ribosomal RNA". It matches the Rfam family "Bacterial small subunit ribosomal RNA", at positions 524 to 776 of the family's 1533-position model. The record is from RNAcentral.
UACGUAUGGUGCAAGCGUUAUCCGGAAUGACUGGGUGUAAAGGGAGCGUAGACGGUUGUUCAAGUCUGAUGUGAAAGCCCUCGGCUUAACUGGGGGAGUGCAUUGGAAACUGAAGGACUAGAGUAUCGGAGAGGCAAGUGGAAUUCCUAGUGUAGCGGUGAAACGCGUAGAUAUUAGGAGGAACACCAGUGGCGAAGGCGGCUUGCUGGACGAAAACUGACGUUGAGGCUCGAAAGCGUGGGGAGCAAACAGG